CGGAGGGUGCAAGCGUUGUCCGGAUUUAUUGGGUUUAAAGGGUGCGUAGGCGGCCCGGUAAGUCAGUGGUGAAAGCCUCCAGCUCAACUGGAGAACUGCCAUUGAUACUGCCGGGCUUGAGUACAGACGAGGUUGGCGGAAUUGAUUGUGUAGCGGUGAAAUGCAUAGAUACAAUCAAGAACUCCGAUUGCGUAGGCAGCUAACUAGGCUGUAACUGACGCUGAGGCACGAAAGCGUGGGGAGCGAACAGGAUUAGAUACCCUGGUAGUCCACGCCGUAAACGAUGAUUACUCGAUGUUGGCGAUAAACUGUCAGCGUCUUAGCGAAAGCGUUAAGUAAUCCACCUGGGGAGUACGCCCGCAAGGGUG
RNAcentral lists this ribosomal RNA (368 nucleotides) under uncultured organism. Its description in RNAcentral is "bacterial SSU rRNA". It matches the Rfam family "Bacterial small subunit ribosomal RNA", at positions 526 to 896 of the family's 1533-position model. The record is from RNAcentral.